RNAcentral lists this long non-coding RNA (288 nucleotides) under Mytilus galloprovincialis (Mediterranean mussel). The record is from RNAcentral. Lineage: Eukaryota; Metazoa; Mollusca; Bivalvia; Mytilida; Mytilidae.
AAUGAGGCAGAAAUGAUGACGGGGUUACCAGUUUCUGAUGUUGUGCAAGCUGAAACAGCAAUAGAUGUGUUGUUAGGCAAAGGUUGUCGGUAUGCUAUUAUUACAUUAGGAGAGAAGGGUACAGUGUUUGCAUCACAAGAGAACCAGAAGCCUACUUAUAUACCAGCAACGAAGGUGAAGGCAGUAGAUACAACAGUAAGAUGCUCUUUUUGAAUUAACUUAAGUACUUCCGAAAGGACUGUUUUUGUUGUUGUAGUUUUGAAAGAUCAUAAAAAUAUAAGUAGUCCC